RNAcentral lists this ribosomal RNA (292 nucleotides) under uncultured bacterium. RNAcentral describes it as "partial 16S ribosomal RNA". It matches the Rfam family "Bacterial small subunit ribosomal RNA", at positions 505 to 796 of the family's 1533-position model. The record is from RNAcentral.
GUGCCAGCAGCCGCGGUAACACGUAGGAUCCGAGCGUUAUCCGAAUUUACUGGGCGUAAAGCGCUUGCAGGCGGUUUGAUAAGUUGGAUGUGAAAGCUCCCGGCUCAACUGGGAGAGGUCGUUCAAAACUAUCAGACUGGAGGGUGGUAGAGGGAGGUGGAAUUCCCGGUGUAGUAGUGAAAUGCGUAGAUAUCGGGAGGAAUACCAGAGGCGAAGGCGGCCUCCUAGGCCAUACCUGACGCUAAGAAGCGAAAGCUAGGGGAGCGAACGGGAUUAGAUACCCCCGUAGUCC